CCCGCUUCGGGCAAGGCGUCUUCGUCUCUCUCGCUUGAGGCCCCAGGCCCCCAGCUCGAGCUCGCCCAGGUCAGGUCUUCCUCCUUCUCGGAACGGAAUCCCCAACUCAAAAUACUCGCUCUAACCCGGCCCAGAAACCCUAGGACGGGAGCAUGGUCAAGAAGCCCACCGCACCUGCCGACGCCGAGGCCGGCGAGCGCCGCCGUCUCCGCUCGCUCGCCUUCUCCAAUGGACUGCUCCAGCGCGGCGAGCCGGCGGCUCCGCGGUCGGCGCUCGCGCCGUCGGGCGCCGCGGCGAGGCUGCAGGGCCGCGACAUCGUGCGGCGCGGCGGCCAGCGCAAGAGCCGCUUCCUCUUCUCCUUCCCCGGCCUCCUCGCGCCUGCCGCCUCAGCCGGCCGCGUCGGGGAGCUGGCCGAUCUCGGGACCAAGAACCCAGUGCUGUACCUCGAGUUCCCUCAGGGAAGGAUGAAGCUGUUCGGGACGCACGUUUACCCCAAGAACAAGUACCUGACGCUGCAGAUGACAAGGUCGGCCAAGGGCGUCGUCUGUGAGGACGUCUUCGAGAGCCUGAUUGUAUUUUCUGAAGCCUGGUGGGUUGGGACAAAAGAAGAAAACCCAGAAGAACUAAAACUUGAGUUUCCAAAAGAAUUCCAUAAUGUUUCUGAGGGCGCAGCAGCAGAUUGUGAUUUUAGAGGUGGAGCAGGUGCUGCCAUUGAUGAAGCAACUGUCAACAAACCUGGAAAGGAAAAUGAAGAACCCCAUUCCCCGAAAUUUGAAUCUGAUGCUGAUGUUUCUGAAGAUUCAGAUCAUAAGGAUGAGAAUGGCACGCAGACUACGAGUGAAACACCUUCAGUCAGACAAUCUGCUAGGACUGCUGGGAAAGCCUUGAAGUACACAGAGUUAUCUUCUGGAGGAGACUCAUCCGACAGUGACAAUGAGAUUGAGGUACCUGAGGAUUUGGAUGAGAAGAUGACGAGUCCAGGAGUUAAGAAUGAAAGCCAAAGCGAAGACAUCAAACCUGCAGAUUCCACAGCAAGGUCUCUCUCUAGCAAGAAGGAACCACUUGCCCAGGCUACUUUGUCUAGCAUGUUUAAAAAGGCAGAAGAGAAAAAGAUGAACUUCUGUUUCAGAGGUCUACAAGAAGUCCGAAAGGAUCUCCUGCCACAAAAGGUCCUGCUGCUAAAAAGCAGAGAGCAGGUCCAAAGGAAAAACAGCCAGCAGGGAAUAAUAAAGGUAAUUAAACUGUUGUCACAUGCGCCUUAUAUUAGCAGCAGCCAUCUACGCACUUCAGUGUGAUAGCAUUUGGUCUAAGCUUCCAAAAACCUUUCUCAGUGAAUUAGUCUCUUAGCCUGGAACAAGCCAACAACUCUAGGAGGAUUCUUCGUGAAGCUUUCAGCUUCGUUCAUAUAGAGGAUGCUGACCCUUGUACUAGUAUUCUUUUAUGGGACUGACUCUUGUGUUUACAUGAAUGCAGCAACCGGAAUGCGGAAAAAGCAAAAAACAAAGGUAGAAGAAGAUGAGAUUGAAGAGCUCUCAAGUUCAUCUCAGGAUAACGCUGUGGAUGAUGAUGGCGACGAGGACUGGGCUGAGUAACGCGCUUGUAUAUGGGCAUUACAUGAGUUAGUAGUCCAUCAAGAACGUGAAGAAUGUGGAAAUGAUGCAGAGUUGAAAGGAGGGAGGGAUCGAUUGGGGGCACAAAAUCUGCAUUCCUUGGAUGGUAUCGUGAUGUGGUUGCCCUUAGCUGACGACUGAUGUAAAAAGUACAUAACAGCAAUUCAGAUUGUGAACUGGACGAAUUAGUCAGCAUAUGAUAGCAAUGUUUCUGACUUGUUUGUAGUAGGAACACUGCAUUAUUUGAUUGUUUGUGCCUGUCUAUAUGCAAUGGACAUAAGCUCUGCCGCACUGGAGAGUCUGUCCCGAUGGUCCGGACUGGAGGUCGACGAGAAAGAGAUGAAUGAGGCAAUUGUGUUUUGUGUGAAUGAGCUGAUCCCUUUUUCUUUCCUACUUUUCUCCCGUUAAAAAAUGCAUUGGCUGAUCACUGAAAGGAAGAAACAAUGCCAUUUGUCAGUGCAAAAAGGAUGCGCCUUCAAACUGAACAUGACAUAAUUGAACAUUUGCAUUUGUAAACUGAACAUCUGCACCGAGCCGUACAUAUAUUCUUGAAUGAAUGGAAUCCUUUCUUUUUCUUUUGGUUA
This is an RNA transcript of Phragmites australis (common reed), 2194 nucleotides long. It is a transcript of the gene named DNA-binding protein RHL1-like, with no coding region annotated. Lineage: Eukaryota; Viridiplantae; Streptophyta; Magnoliopsida; Poales; Poaceae. The record is from RefSeq and is a predicted model, not a curated record. The transcript is spliced from 10 exons.